RNAcentral lists this ribosomal RNA (465 nucleotides) under Vreelandella stevensii. RNAcentral's name for it is "partial 16S ribosomal RNA". It matches the Rfam family "Bacterial small subunit ribosomal RNA", at positions 338 to 795 of the family's 1533-position model. The record is from RNAcentral. Lineage: Bacteria; Pseudomonadati; Pseudomonadota; Gammaproteobacteria; Oceanospirillales; Halomonadaceae.
CCUACGGGGGGCUGCAGUGGGGAAUAUUGGACAAUGGGCGAAAGCCUGAUCCAGCCAUGCCGCGUGUGUGAAGAAGGCCUUCGGGUUGUAAAGCACUUUCAGUGGGGAAGAAAGCCUUGGGGCUAAUACCCUCGAGGAAGGACAUCACCCACAGAAGAAGCACCGGCUAACUCCGUGCCAGCAGCCGCGGUAAUACGGAGGGUGCGAGCGUUAAUCGGAAUUACUGGGCGUAAAGCGCGCGUAGGCGGUCUGAUAAGCCGGUUGUGAAAGCCCCGGGCUCAACCUGGGAACGGCAUCCGGAACGGUCAGGCUAGAGUGCAGGAGAGGAAGGUAGAAUUCCCGGUGUAGCGGUGAAAUGCGUAGAGAUCGGGAGGAAUACCAGUGGCGAAGGCGGCCUUCUGGACUGACACUGACGCUGAGGUGCGAAAGCGUGGGUAGCAAACAGGAUUAGAUACCCCAGUAGUC